GUCGCUGGCGCUGCUGAUGUUGUGCCGAGAAAUGCAUGUCAGCUGAGAAUUACUUUUGGAACGUUACUCAUCACUGUUUAGCCCCAGAAAUAAGAAUUGUAUGGGUUUUAAAUUGUACAUUUCUGUGGACCACUCUACUAUAAACGGUGCGCGUUUCCGCGAGGUGCAUGCAAUUCUCGGAGGACAUGCGUUUCUCGGCACAACACCAGUAACAACAGCGAU
Xyrichtys novacula (pearly razorfish) is the source of this 222-nucleotide non-coding RNA. NCBI's taxonomy places the organism in Eukaryota, Metazoa, Chordata, Actinopteri, Labriformes, Labridae. The record is from the annotation of a GenBank genome assembly.